Molecule: ribosomal RNA, 473 nt
Filed under: uncultured bacterium
Lineage: Bacteria
Description: bacterial SSU rRNA
Rfam family: Bacterial small subunit ribosomal RNA
Source: RNAcentral
UGGAGCCUACACAUGCAGUCGACGGUAACAGGAAGCAGCUUGCUUCUUUGCUGACGAGUGGCGGAGGGUGAGUAAUGUCUGGGAAACUGCCUGAUGGAGGGGGAUAACUACUGGAAACGGUAGCUAAUACCGCAUAACGUCGCAAGACCAAAGAGGGGGACCUUCGGGCCUCUUGCCAUCGGAUGUGCCCAGAUGGGAUUAGCUAGUAGGUGGGGUAACGGCUCACCUAGGCGACGAUCCCUAGCUGGUCUGAGAGGAUGACCAGCCACACUGGAACUGAGACACGGUCCAGACUCCUACGGGAGGCAGCAGUGGGGAAUAUUGCACAAUGGGCGCAAGCCUGAUGCAGCCAUGCCGCGUGUAUGAAGAAGGCCUUCGGGUUGUAAAGUACUUUCAGCGGGGAGGAAGGAAAAAAAGUUCAACCUUUGCUCAUUUGUUUUUACUCCCAGAAGAAGCAUCGGCUUACUCCGUGC